Penaeus monodon (black tiger shrimp) is the source of this 669-nucleotide long non-coding RNA. RefSeq lists it as uncharacterized. The transcript is spliced from 3 exons. Lineage: Eukaryota; Metazoa; Arthropoda; Malacostraca; Decapoda; Penaeidae. The record is from RefSeq and is a predicted model, not a curated record.
AUUUAUUUAUUUAUUACUUCCUUUAUUUUUAUUUUCCCUCUUCCUUUAUCUUGGCUCUUCAUUUUUUUCAUUCUUCCCUCAUCCUUUAUCUUUUUUCUUUUCCUUUCAUCCCCAUUAGCCUAAUUCCCAUCCUCACCUUCACCUCCAUUUCCACCCUCCUUCCCAUCACCCAUCAACACGACGUUUAAUACCAGCUUCUUCCUCCCUCAGACUAGACCCCCCUGCACUUGGCUGCCUCUGGGGGUCAUAAGGCAGUGGUGGACGUCCUCGUGGCGGGGGGCGGCGACCCCAACGCCAGAGACUGGAAAGGCAGAACGGCGAUGCACGUGGCAGCCUGGCAGGGGCACUGGGGGGCGCUGGAAGCUCUUGCAGCGAACGGGGCCGACGUUGUUCCCUUAAAACCAACGUGCUAACAAUAUUGAAUAUGUGUGCAAGUGUGAUUCUGAUGAUACAUUAAGGAAAAAAUUAACCCUUACCUAUUCUCUAGCUUUUUCCCAUAUCAUAUUCUGUCUCUGAUCUCCCUUUGUUUAUUUAUCAUUAUUUUGUUUCUCAUGAAUAUUCGGCAUCACUUUCUCAAUCUUUCUUUCAUCUUGCAGAAGUAUUUUCUUUCUUUUAGAAAUUUCUCUUACCUCUUUUCCAUUCUUUGAAUGACACUCAUGCACAUGCAUA